RNAcentral lists this transfer RNA (83 nucleotides) under Candidatus Micrarchaeota archaeon CG1_02_55_41. Its description in RNAcentral is "tRNA-Ser". It matches the Rfam family "tRNA". From Rfam's summary of the family: Transfer RNA (tRNA) molecules are approximately 80 nucleotides in length. Their secondary structure includes four short double-helical elements and three loops (D, anti-codon, and T loops). The record is from RNAcentral. Lineage: Archaea; Nanobdellati; Microcaldota. RNAcentral also lists the same sequence under 3 other names.
GCCGGGGUGGCAGAGCGGUUAUUGCGCUGGUCUUGAAAACCAGUGGCCGAAAGGCCUCCUGAGUUCGAAUCUCAGCCCCGGCG